GCACGAUCAGGAUGAUCGCCAGCGGCAGCGUGGUGCUCUCGUAGGUGGCCGCCAGCACCAGGAACACCAGCAGCAC
This 76-nucleotide transfer RNA is filed under the name Methylibium petroleiphilum PM1. RNAcentral describes it as "tRNA-Asn". Lineage: Bacteria; Pseudomonadati; Pseudomonadota; Betaproteobacteria; Burkholderiales; Sphaerotilaceae. The record is from RNAcentral.